Molecule: ribosomal RNA, 465 nt
Filed under: Vreelandella stevensii
Lineage: Bacteria; Pseudomonadati; Pseudomonadota; Gammaproteobacteria; Oceanospirillales; Halomonadaceae
Description: partial 16S ribosomal RNA
Rfam family: Bacterial small subunit ribosomal RNA
Source: RNAcentral
CCUACGGGAGGCUGCAGUGGGGAAUAUUGGACAAUGGGGGCAACCCUGAUCCAGCCAUGCCGCGUGUGUGAAGAAGGUCCUCGGGUUGUAAAGCACUUUCAGUGAGGAAGAACGCCUGGUGGUUAAUACCCAUCAGGAAAGACAUCACUCACAGAAGAAGCACCGGCUAACUCCGUGCCAGCAGCCGCGGUAAUACGGAGGGUGCGAGCGUUAAUCGGAAUUACUGGGCGUAAAGCGCGCGUAGGUGGCUUGAUAAGCCGGUUGUGAAAGCCCCGGGCUCAACCUGGGAACGGCAUCCGGAACUGUCAAGCUAGAGUGCAGGAGAGGAAGGUAGAAUUCCCGGUGUAGCGGUGAAAUGCGUAGAGAUCGGGAGGAAUACCAGUGGCGAAGGCGGCCUUCUGGACUGACACUGACACUGAGGUGCGAAAGCGUGGGUAGCAAACAGGAUUAGAUACCCCAGUAGUC